Molecule: ribosomal RNA, 520 nt
Filed under: uncultured bacterium
Lineage: Bacteria
Description: bacterial SSU rRNA
Rfam family: Bacterial small subunit ribosomal RNA
Source: RNAcentral
GGGAACAUACCCUUUUCUACGGAAUAGCUCUGGGAAACUGGAAUUAAUACCGUAUACGCCCUACGGGGGAAAGAUUUAUCGGGGAAGGAUUGGCCCGCGUUGGAUUAGCUAGUUGGUGGGGUAAAGGCCUACCGAGGCGACGAUCCAUAGCUGGUCUGAGAGGAUGAUCAGCCACAUUGGGACCGAGACACGGCCCAAACUCCUACGGGAGGCAGCAGUGGGGAAUAUUGGACAAUGGGCGCAAGCCUGAUCCAGCCAUGCCGCGUGAGUGAUGAAGGCCUUAGGGUUGUAAAGCUCUUUCACCGAUGAAGAUAAUGACGGUAGUCGGAGAAGAAGCCCCGGCUAACUUCGUGCCAGCAGCCGCGGUAAUACGAAGGGGGCUAGCGUUGUUCGGAAUUACUGGGCGUAAAGCGCACGUAGGCGGAUAUUUAAGUCAGGGGUGAAAUCCCAGAGCUCAACUCUGGAACUGCCUUUGAUACUGGGUAUCUUGAGUAUGGAAGAGGUAAGUGGAAUUGCGAGU